Molecule: ribosomal RNA, 496 nt
Filed under: uncultured bacterium
Lineage: Bacteria
Description: partial 16S ribosomal RNA
Rfam family: Bacterial small subunit ribosomal RNA
Source: RNAcentral
GAUGAACGCUGGCGGCGUGCCUAAUACAUGCAAGUCGAGCGAACAGAUGAGGAGCUUGCUCCUCUGACGUUAGCGGCGGACGGGUGAGUAACACGUGGAUAACCUACCUAUAAGACUGGGAUAACUUCGGGAAACCGGAGCUAAUACCGGAUAAUAUAUUGAACCGCAUGGUUCAAUAGUGAAAGACGGUUUUGCUGUCACUUAUAGAUGGAUCCGCGCUGCAUUAGCUAGUUGGUAAGGUAACGGCUUACCAAGGCAACGAUGCGUAGCCGACCUGAGAGGGUGAUCGGCCACACUGGAACUGAGACACGGUCCAGACUCCUACGGGAGGCAGCAGUAGGGAAUCUUCCGCAAUGGGCGAAAGCCUGACGGAGCAACGCCGCGUGAGUGAUGAAGGUCUUCGGAUCGUAAAACUCUGUUAUUAGGGAAGAACAAAUGUGUAAGUAACUAUGCACGUCUUGACGGUACCUAAUCAGAAAGCCACGGCUAACUACGU